GAUGAACGCUGGCGGCGUGCUUAACACAUGCAAGUCGAACGAGAAGUGAAGACGGAAACCUUCGGGCGGUAGGCUUUAUUUCGAGUGGCGGACGGGUGAGUAACGCGUGGGUAACCUGCCUCAUACAGGGGGAUAACAGUUGGAAACGACUGUUAAUACCGCAUAAGACCACAGCACCGCAUGGUGCGGGGGUAAAAACUCCGGUGGUAUGAGAUGGACCCGCGUUCGAUUAGCCAGUUGGCAGGGUAACGGCCCACCAAAGCGACGAUCGAUAGCCGAGCUGAGAGGAUGACCGGCCACAUUGGGACUGAGACACGGCCCAAACUCCUACGGGAGGCAGCAGUGGGGAAUAUUGCACAAUGGGGGAAACCCUGAUGCAGCGGCGCCGCGUGAGUGAAGAAGUAUUUCGGUAUGUAAAGCUCUAUCAGCAGGGAAGAAAAUGACGGUACCUGAGUAAGAAGCCCCGGCUAACUACGUG
RNAcentral lists this ribosomal RNA (478 nucleotides) under uncultured bacterium. Its description in RNAcentral is "partial 16S ribosomal RNA". It matches the Rfam family "Bacterial small subunit ribosomal RNA", at positions 28 to 507 of the family's 1533-position model. The record is from RNAcentral.